GCAAGAGGGAGAACUUUUCCCCAAGCAACAGCUGAGAGUGAAUGUGAUGAGUUUGCACCUGAUUGAAGCCAAGUUGGAAGCAUCCGUCUUUUCCUGACAUGGUUGGAAGGUUCAGGCUGAAUCCACGAAGGAAGGGACAAUCUCUCUCAUCUUCUUAAUGGAAUAAUUCCCAUGAAAUGCUUUGGACUGUUGAGAGCUUGGUAAUUCUGAGAUAUUGAGGUCUACCUUGACUGAUUGAAACAAUGUUACAGGAAAAUCUAGAUCCAGAUCUCUCGGGGAUCUAACCCUGGAUCAACCAGCCAUGGCCAGAGGUACAGAGUUGUGCUGUACAGACUAGUCCACUUUGGGCUAUUCCCAGCGAAGGAGCACAGGGCAUACAAACUAGGAAGCAGUCCACACAGCUGUACAGUCAAAUGCCAGUCCUGUCCUGGUUUUCUAACUGUACAAUAGAUCUACUUGAAUAAACCACAGCAAUGACUGAAAUUCUCAUCUUCCUUCUGACGCCCACUGCUCUUCAGUGGGAUUUACUCUUACCGACACGGUGGUCUCUUCC
This is a long non-coding RNA of Choloepus didactylus (southern two-toed sloth), 553 nucleotides long. RefSeq lists it as uncharacterized. The transcript has 3 exons. The record is from RefSeq and is a predicted model, not a curated record. NCBI's taxonomy places the organism in Eukaryota, Metazoa, Chordata, Mammalia, Pilosa, Megalonychidae.